CCUUGAGAUGGAUCUGAACGAGACAAUACCUCGACCAUAGACUGACCUCAAUACACCAACCAAGUUGAGUUACAUGAGCAAUUAGUUGGAAUCUUCCAACAAACUCUCAAAACGUGGUCAUGUCAACCGCCCACGACUAAUAACCUGAUUAGUGGGUGGAUCCUUUAUCCUAACAACCUACGGGUUUAGGCAUAACAAACUCCUGCACCUCUUCUAUAUAAAGGUAAUAAGGAGAUCCCAAAAGAGAUAACAGACUACACCAUACUAAGCUAGCUCUCUCUCUCUUUCACUAC
RNAcentral lists this long non-coding RNA (293 nucleotides) under Elaeis guineensis (African oil palm). RNAcentral's name for it is "long non-coding RNA (EGUI_LNC049242)". Lineage: Eukaryota; Viridiplantae; Streptophyta; Magnoliopsida; Arecales; Arecaceae. The record is from RNAcentral.